UAUGAUAAAACCCCAAAAUGGAUAUUCUGCUUUCAAUGUUGCUAAAUUAAUAGGAAGAUUUCAAAGGUUGAGACCUAAAGGAAAAGGGAGAAUAGAUCAGAUAAGAUGGAGGAGGACAAUAAAGGCUGAAGGUAUAUGUCAGAUUGUGAAGAAAAAGUGGAAAAAAAGAAGCAUGUGUAUCGGAGAUACUGAACAGAGAAUAGAGUGGGUGGAGUAAGCCUGAGACUUUCUUCAAAAGAAGCAAUUUUACAUGGUGUGUAAAACC
RNAcentral lists this long non-coding RNA (265 nucleotides) under Homo sapiens (human). RNAcentral's name for it is "HSALNT0063916". The record is from RNAcentral. Lineage: Eukaryota; Metazoa; Chordata; Mammalia; Primates; Hominidae.